This 254-nucleotide ribosomal RNA is filed under the name uncultured prokaryote. RNAcentral's name for it is "partial 16S ribosomal RNA". It matches the Rfam family "Bacterial small subunit ribosomal RNA", at positions 525 to 777 of the family's 1533-position model. The record is from RNAcentral.
ACGUAGGGUGCAAGCGUUGUCCGGAAUUAUUGGGCGUAAAGAGCUCGUAGGCGGUUCGUCGCGUCGGCUGUGAAAUCCCGAGGCUCAACCUCGGGUCUGCAGUCGAUACGGGCGGACUGGAGUUCGGCAGGGGAGACUGGAAUUCUCGGUGUAGCGGUGAAAUGCGUAGAUAUCGAGAGGAACACCUGCGGCGAAGGCGGGUUGCUGGGCUGACACUGACGCUGAUUGUGCGAAAGCUAGGGGAGCGAACGGGA